Molecule: ribosomal RNA, 558 nt
Filed under: Triticum aestivum (bread wheat)
Lineage: Eukaryota; Viridiplantae; Streptophyta; Magnoliopsida; Poales; Poaceae
Description: partial small subunit ribosomal RNA
Source: RNAcentral
AUGGAAUUGAGUUUGUCUCAUACGCUUCACCUUUUUAAUAUCUUUCGUGAGUAUGAUGGAAAGGAUAAUUGUGCUCAAGUGCUAGAAAAAGAAAUCUAUAAAAUGUUUGGCACUAAAUAUUUGAAUGAUGAGCAUGAUUGCAAUGUUGUUAGUAUGAAUCCCUUGAAUAUCCAUGAUGCUAAUGAUAUGCAAAGCCACAAGCUUGGGGAAGCUAUGUUUGAUGAAGAUGAUAUUUUUUGUCCCCCAAGUUUUGAUAAGAAAAUUUAUUAUGAUGAAAGCAUGCCUCCUAUUUAUGAUGAUUAUUGUGAUGACUUGUAUGCUAUUAAGAAUAAUGAUAUCCAUGAAACUUGUCAUCAUGAUUUUAGUUUUCAAUUGGAUUAUGCCUCACAUGAUAAUUAUUUUGUUGAGUUUGCUCCCACUAUUAUUCAUGAGAAGAAUUUUGCUUAUGUGGAGAGUAAUAAAAUGUCUAUGCUUGUAGAUCAUGAAAAGAAUGCUUUAGGUGCUGGUUAUAUUGUUGAAUUCAUUCAUGAUGCUACUGAAAAUUAUUAUGAGGGAUGA